Molecule: ribosomal RNA, 255 nt
Filed under: uncultured bacterium
Lineage: Bacteria
Description: partial 16S ribosomal RNA
Rfam family: Bacterial small subunit ribosomal RNA
Source: RNAcentral
UACGUAGGGCGCAAGCGUUGUCCGGAAUUAUUGGGCGUAAAGAGCUCGUAGGCGGUCUGUCACGUCGGCUGUGAAAACCCGAGGCUCAACCUCGGGCCUGCAGUCGAUACGGGCAGACUAGAGUUCGGUAGGGGGAGACUGGAAUUCCUGGUGUAGCGGUGAAAUGCGCAGAAUAUCAGGAGGAACACCGGUGGCGAAGGCGGGUCUCUGGGCCGAAACUGACGCUGAGGAGCGAAAGCGUGGGGAGCGAACAGG